Molecule: ribosomal RNA, 1034 nt
Filed under: marine metagenome
Description: bacterial SSU rRNA
Rfam family: Eukaryotic small subunit ribosomal RNA
Source: RNAcentral
AGCAUGGAAUAAUAAAUUAGGGCUUUGUGUUUCUUUUUUAUUUGUUACGAAUCUACAUGAGCAAUGAUUAAUUGGGCAGGUUGGGAGUGCUAAUAUUGAUUGGGAAGGAGUGAAACCCUAUGAUCCUUUCAAGAUUUCCAAAAGCGUAAGCAUUCACUAAGGCCUGUUUCUUUAAUCAAGAACGAAAGUUGGGGGAGCGAAGACGAUUAGAUACCGUCGUAGUCCCAACUGUAAACAAUAUCACCUCGGGAUAUGUCCCGUUGACCUUUUCUCUUGCGUUGCCAUGCACCGUUCGAGAAAUCAAAGGGUUCAGAUUCCGGGGGGAGUACAGUCGCAGGUUUGAAACUUAAAGGAAUUGAUGGAAUGACACCACCAGGUGUGGAUCAUGCUGAUUAAUUUGACUCAACACGGGACAACUUACCAGGACAGGACAUAGUAAGGAUUGACAGGUUAGCGAUCUUUCUUGAUUCUAUGGGUGGUGGUGCAUGACCGUUCUUAGUUCGUGGAGUGAUUUGUCUGGUUAAUUCCGCUAACGAACGAGACCUUGACAUUUAAAUAUUGUAGUGUUUCUUAAAUGUUUAAUUUUAGCGUUUUAUGUUUUCAAAUGUAUUUGUUAUACUUCUUAAUGGGACUGCUGUUUGCAUAAACAGAGGAAGUUCAAGGCAAUAACAUGUCUGUGAUGCCCUUAGAUAUCCUGGGCUGCACGCGUGCUACAAUGGACAGUUCAACAAGUUAUAUCCUUGGCCGAAAGGUCUGGGUAAUCUUUAAAAACUGUUCGUACUUGGGAUCGAGUAUUGAAAUUUUUACUCGUGAACGAGGAAUACCUUGUACGUGUGUUCUAUAUUCCCACUCGGAAUACCGUCCCUGCCCUUUGUACACACCACCCGUCGCUCCUACCGAUUGAGUGAUCCGGUGAAUAAUUUGGACUGUGGCACUGUUCGGUUCCUGAACGUUGCUGCCGAAAGUUUAGUGAACCUUAUCACUUAGAGGAAGGAGAAGUCGUAACAAGGUUUCCGUAGGUGAACCUGCGGAAG